Ictalurus furcatus (blue catfish) is the source of this 1030-nucleotide long non-coding RNA. RefSeq lists it as uncharacterized. Lineage: Eukaryota; Metazoa; Chordata; Actinopteri; Siluriformes; Ictaluridae. The record is from RefSeq and is a predicted model, not a curated record. The transcript is spliced from 5 exons.
AGUGUCAGUACAUAGUGCUGCUCUAGUAGUGCAGGUUUAAAAAAACUUUCACUCCUAUCAGAGUGCUCAAGUGUUUAUUAGGAUUAUAUUUACAAUGCCAGGAGGUGACUUUUUCAUUGUGAUGCUUCUUCUUUGGACAUUUGUUGGCAGUGGGGUUGAUGGUGAGAGAGUAACAGGAGUGUUACACGGGCGAGUGGAGCUUCGAGGACGCUAUGGACACAGUCAAGAUGUGCACAGUGUGGAAUGGGCUAAAUAUCCAGAUAAACAUUCAACAAGGAAAUUCUUAUAUCUGUUUAAUAAGUCAAACAAUACUACAUGCCUAGAGGUCCGCCAAAAUAUUCAUUUUAAUUUACAGAAUGAGUAUUAUUUUGUUUAAUUUGACAACAGAAGAUGAAGGCAUUUAUGAGGAGAAAACCACAUUUAAAAAUAAGACCAUUAAAUAUUUUAAUGUCACGCUAUCCUUGCUGUGUGAGUAUCAUAUUUCACCUGUACUUCUUUUACUGCAUAUGAUUAAGAUUCUUGGCAGCUGGCUUGUCUAUUAUAAACAUACUUUUGUAUUUUGAUUAUGUCUUCGGGUCCAACUUCUCCAGUUGCAUCACACAUCACUGUGUCUUCUUCUCCUGGCUCUCUGACCCUGAAGUGUGAGAUCAAUGGGAAGUUUAAGCUGCUGCGAUGGUUCAGAAAUGGCCUUCCACUGCUAGACGACCAGAGAUUCUCACUCACUGACAACAAGAUGACCAUGCAGGUGUCCAACCUGACCAGUUCAGACUGUGGCACAUAUACCUGUCAAGUUUCAAAUGAAAAUGGAAAAUCAGAGGCGCAAAUCGACAUCAGCAGUACAGUUCCUGACUUUUGUGAAGAUUCUCACUCAUCAGUCUCCUUGUUUUGUGUUUAAUCUACAUUUGCAAAUAUUAUGAACCUGUGUACAAUGAGAGCACAUUUCUUCAGGAAGAAGUUGCUUACCCAACUGUGGACCCUUUGUAAAUUUUCUAUCAAGACUUCAUAAAGCCAAAAAAUUCCUAUCAGUCUG